AGCAACCAGUCAGCACACACGCAGGCAAAAUGAAACGAUGUGUUUCAUUAAAUGAUUUGGCACGCACACUCAGCAAGUUAAUGCACACGCAGCACAGUCAAACAAUCCAUGGCGAAUGGUAUGGACACGAACGCGCACACAUGGCAGCCAGCAAGCAUAAACCCUAGAAAGUUGCAGAGACGCCGGAGCUAAGCUCCGGUCGUCUUCUCCGGUGGUAUUCUGGCGGACAUCCAACAAAAUUUU
RNAcentral lists this long non-coding RNA (243 nucleotides) under Lathyrus oleraceus (garden pea). RNAcentral describes it as "Pisum sativum (pea) long non-coding RNA (PSAT_LNC000435)". The record is from RNAcentral. Lineage: Eukaryota; Viridiplantae; Streptophyta; Magnoliopsida; Fabales; Fabaceae.